This 341-nucleotide ribosomal RNA is filed under the name unidentified. RNAcentral describes it as "Taulyrpa sp. NB-2020 partial 16S ribosomal RNA". The record is from RNAcentral.
UUUUUUAAUUGAAAGCUUGUAUGAAUGGUUGAAUGAGAUAUUUACUGUUUCAAAAAAAUUUUUAUAUAAAUUUAUUUUUUAGUAAAAAAGCUUAAAUAUAUUUAAAGGACGAGAAGACCCUAUAAAGUUUUAUAUAUAGAUUUUAAUAAUUGAUAAAAAUUAUUUUAAAUUUUUAUUUUUUAUUUAUUUUAUUGGGGAGAUAAUAAAAUUUAUUUAACUUUUAUUUAUUUAAACAUAGAUUUAUGAAUUAAUUGAUCUUUUAAUAUUGAUUAAAAAUUUAAAUUACUUUAGGGAUAACAGCGUUAUUUUUUUUUUAAGUUCAUAUUUAUAAAAAAGAUUGC